This 547-nucleotide ribosomal RNA is filed under the name uncultured bacterium. RNAcentral's name for it is "bacterial SSU rRNA". It matches the Rfam family "Bacterial small subunit ribosomal RNA", at positions 358 to 916 of the family's 1533-position model. The record is from RNAcentral.
GGAAUAUUGGGCAAUGGGCGCAAGCCUGACCCAGCGACGCCGCGUGAGGGAUGAAGGCCUUCGGGUUGUAAACCUCUUUCAGUAGGGAAGAGGCGAAAGUGACGGUACCUAAAGAAGAAGCACCGGCUAACUAUGUGCCAGCAGCCGCGGUAAUACAUAGGGUGCAAGCGUUGUCCGGAAUUAUUGGGCGUAAAGAGCUCGUAGGUCGUUUGCCGCGUCGAUUGUGAAAAUCUGAGGCUCAACCUCAGACCUGCAGUCGAUACGGGCAAACUAGAGUGUGGUAGGGGAGACUGGAAUUCCUGGUGUAGCGGUGGAAUGCGCAGAUAUCAGGAGGAACACCAAUGGCGAAGGCAGGUCUCUGGGCCAUAACUGACACUGAGGAGCGAAAGCGCGGGGAGCGAACAGGAUUAGAUACCCUGGUAGUCCGCGCCGUAAACGAUGGGCACUAGCUGUGAGAGCCUUCCACGGUUCUCGCGACGCAGCAAACGCAUUAAGUGCCCCGCCUGGGGAGUACGAUCGCAAGAUUAAAACUCAAAGGAAUUGACGG